GGAGUUCUCCUUGAAAGGAUAAGUGGGUUUUACACACCUAGUGGAAGGGAAUUGGUCAUUGUGAUUACUAUGGCUACUUCGACUACUGGGGACAAGGGACCCUGGUCACGGUCACAUCAGCGUCCCCAGCUGCCCCGUCUCUUUUCCCGCUCUACUCUUCCUGCGGGACCGACACGAGCCAAGAUCCUGUCGCACUGGGCUGCUUGGCUAUGGACUUCCUUCCGGACUCAAUCGCUUUCUCCUGGAGUGAUAAAGAAAACACCAGCAUCACCAGUGACAUCACGAAAUUCCCCUCGGUCCUGACUUCAGCUGGGACCUACACUGCCACCACUCAGCUAUCGGUCCCUGCCUCCAAAUCGCAGGAGAUUUUCUAUUGCUCAGCCGAACACCCAAAUGGGAAUAAGAGAAUCCAAGUACCUGACAAAGUACCCUGUUCUCUUGAACCCAGUAUGACCAUCCGUCCCCCAGCCAGAAGCCAAUUCCAAGAGCCCUAUAAAAAUUCCACCAUCAUCUGCCGCGUUACAAAUCUCUGCAGCCAGACUGCUACCUUCACAUGGCUGAAGGAUGGGGCACCGGUCACCUCUGGAGUCACCACUCAUAGCCCUGUCUCCAGCGGCCCCACUGGUUAUACCCACAUCAGCCAGCUGUCUAUAAUGGAGAAAGAUUGGGAUGCCGACCGCAAAUAUAGCUGCAAGGUGGAGAGCACGAAUUUCAGCGAGAUGAUUAACACUAGCAAGUCUUUCGAGUGUGGAGCUAUUGACUGUCUCUCUGACAUCGAAGUCAAGGUGAUCCCGCCUACUUUCGCUGAUAUUUACAUCCGCAAAUCGGCCAUACUGACCUGCAGGGUCAUUAACAUGCAAUCCACGGAGGGGCUCAACGUGACCUGGAGGAGAGAGGAUGGCAAGGAGCUGAAGACCAGCCUCGGAGAACGUAAGAUGCAGAGCAGUGGCCGUUUCAGCGUGGAUGCCACAGCCUCUGUGUGCGCAGACGAGUGGGAGAGAGGAGACUCGUACACCUGCAAAGUGGAUCAUCCAGACCUCAUCUUCCCCAUUGAAAAGACUUUGACCAAACAGCCUGUAACCGACAGCCACGCUCCAUCCAUCUACAUCUUCCCUCCUCCCUCUGAGCAGCUGGCCCUCCGCGAAGCUGCCACCGUCACCUGCCUGGUGAAAGGUUUCAACCCCCCUGACCUCUUCAUCAAGUGGCUGAGCAACGGCGAGGAGCUGAACGCCUCCAAGUACAUCAACACCGAGCCCAUCCAGGAGUCCAGCCAGCCACCACUGUACUUCGCCUACAGCACCCUGAACAUCAAUGAGCAGGAGUGGAACGCCGGCAACACCUACACCUGCUUAGUCGGACAUGAGAAGCUGCCCCUGCAGGUGACCCAGAGGACCGUGGACAAGUCCACCGUUUAUCUAGAUGGGUUCGUGGAUGCUGAAGAGGAAGACUUCUACAACCUCUGGACAACAGCUUCCACUUUUAUCAUCCUCUUCCUCCUGAGUCUUUUCUACAGCACCACAGUGACACUUAUCAAGGUGAAAUAAACCCAACAGCCCAAGAUCGUUCCAACCAAAGGAGCCCACAGAAAGCGAUUUUCCUGAAGAACAGUUCCAAACUUUGCUCCACACUGUGUCCUGCGCAAUUGUUGUGUUCACCUGCCUGUGGAAUGUUCUCAGACAUCAUCUGAAUGUAACUGGACUUUCUGUCUAUUGUUUAUGCUCUUUUAUCUCCAUUUUUAAUGCACGUUUGGGCAGUUUUUUAUUUCUUUCUGUCCUGGUAAUCUCUGCUUUAUGCAAAAUGCAAUCUCUGCUGGCAUAAGAAGUUGCACGUUAAUGGAUAUACGUAAUCGAAUUGCACAACUUGUCAUUUUCCCGGACAUUUGUAUUUUUCACCCUGUACAUAUUUUUCAUGUUGAAAUAAAGAAAUUUAUUAUGUUGACA
Molecule: non-coding RNA, 1940 nt
Organism: Chelonia mydas (Green sea turtle)
Lineage: Eukaryota; Metazoa; Chordata; Testudines; Cheloniidae
Source: the annotation of a RefSeq genome assembly